This 360-nucleotide ribosomal RNA is filed under the name uncultured bacterium. RNAcentral describes it as "bacterial SSU rRNA". It matches the Rfam family "Bacterial small subunit ribosomal RNA", at positions 29 to 416 of the family's 1533-position model. The record is from RNAcentral.
AACGAACGCUGGCGGCAUGCCUAACACAUGCAAGUCGGAACGAAGGCUUCGGCCUUAGUGGCGCACGGGUGCGUAACGCGUGGGAAUCUGCCCUUGGGUUCGGAAUAACUCAGAGAAAUUUGAGCUAAUACCGGAUGAUGACGUAAGUCCAAAGAUUUAAUCGCCCAAGGAUGAGCCCGCGUAAGAUUAGCUAGUUGUGGGGUAAAGCCUACAAGGCGACGAUCUUUAGCUGGUCUGAGAGGAUGAUCAGCCACCACUGGGACUGAGACACGGCCCAGACUCCUACGGGAGGCAGCAGUGGGGAAUAUUGGACAAUGGGCGAAAGCCUGAUCCAGCAAUGCCGCGUGAGUGAUGAAGGCC